RNAcentral lists this ribosomal RNA (613 nucleotides) under uncultured rumen bacterium. RNAcentral's name for it is "bacterial SSU rRNA". It matches the Rfam family "Bacterial small subunit ribosomal RNA", at positions 855 to 1482 of the family's 1533-position model. The record is from RNAcentral.
AAGCGUUAAGCAUCCCACCUGGGGAGUACGCCGCAACGUGAAACUCAAAGGAAUUGACGGGGCCCGCACAAGCGGAGGAACAUGUGUUUAUUCGAUGAUACGCGAGGAACCUUACCCGGGCUUGAACUGCAGCCGAACGAUAGAGAGAUCUUGAGGUCCUUCGGGACGGCUGUGGAGGUGCUGCAUGGUUGUCGUCAGCUCGUGCCGUGAGGUGUCGGCUUAAGUGCCAUAACGAGCGCAACCCCUUUCAUUAGUUGCCAUCAGGUAAUGCUGGGCACUCUGGUGAUACUGCCACCGUAAGGUGUGAGGAAGGUGGGGAUGACGUCAAAUCAGCACGGCCCUUACGUCCGGGGCUACACACGUGUUACAAUGGGGGGUACAGAGAGUCGGAUGUACGCAAGUACAUUCUAAUCCUAAAAGCCUUCCUCAGUUCGGAUUGGGGUCUGCAACCCGACCCCAUGAAGCUGGAUUCGCUAGUAAUCGCGCAUCAGCCAUGGCGCGGUGAAUACGUUCCCGGGCCUUGUACACACCGCCCGUCAAGCCAUGAAAGCCGGGGGCGCUUGAAGUCCGUGACCGCAAGGAUCGGCCUAGGGUGAAACAGGUGAUUGGGGCU